GUAGUCGAUGGACAGCAGGUUGAGAUUCCUGCACCCGUAAUGAACAGAACUGUAGCGACACGGAAGGUAAGACAGAGCCGGGAAUGAGAAAACCGGUGCAAGCACAAUAGAUGUGCGGGAGGAAAAACCCCCGCAUAAGUCGAAGGUGUGAUGCGGACCGAAAAAGAGUAGGGAAGCUGUUAAGCAAGCCGUCAAGAAAAGCUGCUAUUGUUUCAUUAUGGCCCGUACCGUAAACCGACACAGGUGGAUGGGGAGAGAAUCCUAAGGCCGGCGGAAGAAGUAUUGUUAAGGAACUCGGCAAAAUGACCCCGUAACUUCGGGAGAAGGGGUGCCUGCGAGAGCAGGCCGCAGAGAAGAGGCCCAAGCAACUGUUUAGCAAAAACACAGGUCUAUGCAAAACCGAAAGGUGAGGUAUAUGGGCUGACGCCUGCCCGGUGCUGGAAGGUUAAGGGGAGUGGUCAGGAAACGAAGCCACGAACUUAAGCCCCAGUAAACGGCGGCCGUAACUAUAACGGUCCUAAGGUAGCGAAAUUCCUUGUCGGGUAAGUUCCGACCCGCACGAAAGGCGUAAUGAUUUGGGCGCUGUCUCGACAAUACAUCCGGUGAAAUUGAAGUGCCAGUGAAGAUGCUGGCUACCUGCGCCAGGACGGAAAGACCCCAUGGAGCUUUACUCCAGCUUGAUACUGGGACCCGGUAUUGCAUGUACAGGAUAGGUGGGAGGCUAGGAAAUGUGGACGCCAGUCUGCAUGGAGCCGCCGUUGGGAUACCACCCUUGUGGUGCUGGGUUUCUAACCAGAGGCCGUGAACCGGUCUGGGGACAAUGUCAGGUGGGGAGUUUGACUGGGGCGGUCGCCUCCGAAAGGGUAUCGGAGGCGCCCAAAGGUUCCCUCAGAAUGGUUGGAAACCAUUCGAAGAGUGCAAAGGCAGAAGGGAGCUUGACUGCGACACCGACGGGUGGAGCAGGUACGAAAGUAGGGCUUAGUGAUCCGGUGGAAUUUAAGUGGGAAUGCCAUCGCUCAACGGGUAAAAGCUACCCUGGGAUAACAGGCUGAUCACUCCCAAGAGUUCACAUCGACGGAGUGGUUUGGCACCUCGAUGUCGGCUCAUCGCAUCCUGGGGCUGAAGUCGGUCCCAAGGGUUGGGCUGUUCGCCCAUUAAAGCGGUACGCGAGCUGGGUUCAGAACGUCGUGAGACAGUUCGGUCCCUAUCCGGCGUGGGCGUAGGAUAUCUGAGAGGAGCUGUCCUUAGUACGAGAGGACCGGGAUGGACUGACCUCUGGUGUACCGGUUGGCGAUCAACGCCACGGCCGGGUAGCCAUGUCGGGACGGGAUAAACGCUGAAGGCAUCUAAGCGUGAAGCCCCCCUCAAGAUGAGAUAUCCCAUUCGAAAGAAGUAAGACCCCUUGAAGACGACGAGGUUGAUAGGGCAGGGGUGGAAGUGCUGUAAGGCAUGGAGCUGACUGCUACUAAUCGGUCGAGGGCUUGACU
This 1487-nucleotide ribosomal RNA is filed under the name metagenome. Its description in RNAcentral is "bacterial LSU rRNA". It matches the Rfam family "Bacterial large subunit ribosomal RNA", at positions 1411 to 2925 of the family's 2925-position model. The record is from RNAcentral.